Molecule: ribosomal RNA, 167 nt
Filed under: uncultured bacterium
Lineage: Bacteria
Description: partial 16S ribosomal RNA
Rfam family: Bacterial small subunit ribosomal RNA
Source: RNAcentral
UACGGGAGGCAGCAGUGGGGAAUCUUAGACAAUGGGCGCAAGCCUGAUCUAGCCAUGCCGCGUGAGUGAUGAAGGCCCUAGGGUCGCAAAGCUCUUUCAACUGUGAAGAUAAUGACGGUAGCAGUAGAAGAAACCCCGGCUAACUCCGUGCCAGCAGCCGCGGUAAU